Molecule: ribosomal RNA, 847 nt
Filed under: Microdochium nivale
Lineage: Eukaryota; Fungi; Ascomycota; Sordariomycetes; Xylariales; Microdochiaceae
Description: eukaryotic LSU rRNA
Rfam family: Eukaryotic large subunit ribosomal RNA
Source: RNAcentral
AACCAACAGGGAUUGCCCUAGUAACGGCGAGUGAAGCGGCAACAGCUCAAAUUUGAAAUCUGGCCUUCUGGUCCGAGUUGUAAUUUGUAGAGGAUGAUUUUGGUUAGGUACCUUCCGAGUUCCUUGGAACAGGACGCCUUAGAGGGUGAGAGCCCCGUACGGUUGGAUGCCGAGCCUUUGUAAAUCUCCUUCGACGAGUCGAGUAGUUUGGGAAUGCUGCUCUAAAUGGGAGGUAAAUUUCUUCUAAAGCUAAAUACCGGCCAGAGACCGAUAGCGCACAAGUAGAGUGAUCGAAAGAUGAAAAGCACUUUGAAAAGAGGGUUAAAUAGUACGUGAAAUUGUUGAAAGGGAAGGAUUUAUGACCAGACCUUUGCCUUGCGGAUCAUCCGGUGUUCUCACCGGUGCACUUCGCUUGGUUGAGGCCAGCAUCAGUUUUGGCGGCGGGAUAAAGACUUCAGGAACGUGACUCCCCCGGGAGUGUUAUAGCCUGCUGUGUAAUACCGCCGCUGGGACUGAGGACCGCGCUUCGGCUAGGAUGCUGGCAUAAUGGUCAUCAAUCACCCGUCUUGAAACACGGACCAAGGAGUCGAACAUUUAUGCGAGUUUUUGGGUGUUAAACCCUCAAGCGUAAUGAAAGUGAACGGAGGUGAGAGCCCUUACGGGUGCAUCAUCGACCGAUCCUGAUGUCUUCGGAUGGAUUUGAGUAAGAGCAUAACUGUUCGGACCCGAAAGAUGGUGAACUAUGCGUGGAUAGGGUGAAGCCAGAGGAAACUCUGGUGGAGGCUCGCAGCGGUUCUGACGUGCAAAUCGAUCGUCAAAUCUGCGCAUGGGGGCGAAAGACUAAUCG